Molecule: transfer RNA, 75 nt
Filed under: Chondromyces lanuginosus
Lineage: Bacteria; Pseudomonadati; Myxococcota; Polyangiales; Polyangiaceae
Description: tRNA-Pro
Rfam family: tRNA
About the family: Transfer RNA (tRNA) molecules are approximately 80 nucleotides in length. Their secondary structure includes four short double-helical elements and three loops (D, anti-codon, and T loops). Further hydrogen bonds mediate the characteristic L-shaped molecular structure. tRNAs have two regions of fundamental functional importance: the anti-codon, which is responsible for specific mRNA codon recognition, and the 3' end, to which the tRNAs corresponding amino acid is attached (by aminoacyl-tRNA synthetases). tRNAs cope with the degeneracy of the genetic code in two manners: having more than one tRNA (with a specific anti-codon) for a particular amino acid; and 'wobble' base-pairing, i.e. permitting non-standard base-pairing at the 3rd anti-codon position.
Source: RNAcentral
CUGGGUGUGGCUCAAUCUGGUCAGAGCGUCGGUUCGGGGAACCGAAGAUUGGGGGUUCAAAUCCCUCCACCCAGA